GACGAACGCUGGCGGCGUGCUUAACACAUGCAAGUCGAACGGAAAGGCCCUUCGGGGUACUCGAGUGGCGAACGGGUGAGUAACACGUGGGUGAUCUGCCCUGCACUUUGGGAUAAGCCUGGGAAACUGGGUCUAAUACCGAAUAGGACCACGCGCUUCAUGGUGUGUGGGGGAAAGCUUUUGCGGUGUGGGAUGGGCCCGCGGCCUAUCAGCUUGUUGGUGGGGUAAUGGCCUACCAAGGCGACGACGGGUAGCCGGCCUGAGAGGGUGACCGGCCACACUGGGACUGAGAUACGGCCCAGACUCCUACGGGAGGCAGCAGUGGGGAAUAUUGCACAAUGGGCGCAAGCCUGAUGCAGCGACGCCGCGUGAGGGAUGACGGCCUUCGGGUUGUAAACCUCUUUCAAUAGGGACGAAGCGAAAGUGACGGUACCUAUAGAAGAAGCACCGGCCAACUACGUG
This 462-nucleotide ribosomal RNA is filed under the name uncultured bacterium. RNAcentral's name for it is "partial 16S ribosomal RNA". It matches the Rfam family "Bacterial small subunit ribosomal RNA", at positions 28 to 507 of the family's 1533-position model. The record is from RNAcentral.